RNAcentral lists this ribosomal RNA (396 nucleotides) under uncultured bacterium. RNAcentral's name for it is "partial 16S ribosomal RNA". It matches the Rfam family "Bacterial small subunit ribosomal RNA", at positions 355 to 743 of the family's 1533-position model. The record is from RNAcentral.
UGGGGAAUUUUGGACAAUGGGGGCAACCCUGAUCCAGCAAUGCCGCGUGUGUGAAGAAGGCCUUCGGGUUGUAAAGCACUUUUGUCCGGAAAGAAAUCGCCCUGGCUAAUAUCCGGGGUGGAUGACGGUACUGGAAGAAUAAGCACCGGCUAACUACGUGCCAGCAGCCGCGGUAAUACGUAGGGUGCGAGCGUUAAUCGGAAUUACUGGGCGUAAAGCGUGCGCAGGCGGUUGUGCAAGACAGAUGUGAAAUCCCCGGGCUUAACCUGGGAAUGGCAUUUGUGACUGCACGGCUAGAGUGUGUCAGAGGGGGGUAGAAUUCCACGUGUAGCAGUGAAAUGCGUAGAUAUGUGGAGGAACACCGAUGGCGAAGGCAGCCCCCUGGGAUAACACUGA